CCUACGAGGGGCAGCAGUGGGGAAUAUUGCACAAUGGGGGAAACCCUGAUGCAGCGACGCCGCGUGAGUGAAGAAGUAUUUCGGUAUGUAAAGCUCUAUCAUCAGGGAAGAAAUCCACCCUCCGGGGUGGCUGACGGUACCUGACUAAGAAGCCCCGGCUAACUACGUGCCAGCAGCCGCGGUAAUACGUAGGGGGCAAGCGUUAUCCGGAUUUACUGGGUGUAAAGGGAGCGUAGGUGGCAAGGCAAGUCAGAUGUGAAAACCCGGGGCCCAACCCCGGGAGUGCAUUUGAAACUGUCUGGCUAGAGUGCAGGAGAGGUAAGUGGAAUUCCUAGUGUAGCGGUGAAAUGCAUAGAUAUUAGGAGGAACACCAGUGGCGAAGGCGGCUUACUGGACUGUAACUGACACUGAGGCUCGAAAGCGUGGGGAGCAAACAGGAUUAGAUACCCGUGUAGUC
This 457-nucleotide ribosomal RNA is filed under the name uncultured bacterium. RNAcentral's name for it is "partial 16S ribosomal RNA". It matches the Rfam family "Bacterial small subunit ribosomal RNA", at positions 338 to 795 of the family's 1533-position model. The record is from RNAcentral.